RNAcentral lists this long non-coding RNA (404 nucleotides) under Mytilus galloprovincialis (Mediterranean mussel). Lineage: Eukaryota; Metazoa; Mollusca; Bivalvia; Mytilida; Mytilidae. The record is from RNAcentral.
CAACAAUGUACAAAGCCUAUGGCGUAUGCAUAGCAAACCACAAGGCUCCCGAUGAAAACUAGAGGCUCUAAAGAGCCUGUGUCGCUCACCUUGGUCUAUGUGAAUAUUAAACAAUGGACACAGAUGGAUUCAUGACAGAAUUGUGUUCUGGUGAUGGUGAUGUGUUUGUAGAUCUUACUUUACUAAACAUUUUUGCUGCUUACAAUUAUCUGUAUCUAUAACAGUACUUUCUGUGGAAAAUGUUAUUGAAAAUCUUCAAAUUUUAAGAAAAUUGUUAAAAAUUGACUAUGAAGGGCAAUAACUCCUUAGGGGGUCAAUUGACUAUUUUGGUCAUACUGACAUAUUUUUAGUUCUUACUUUGCUGUACAUUAUUGCUGUUUACAGUUUAUCUCUAUCUAUAAUAA